Molecule: small RNA, 106 nt
Filed under: Sinorhizobium meliloti 2011
Lineage: Bacteria; Pseudomonadati; Pseudomonadota; Alphaproteobacteria; Hyphomicrobiales; Rhizobiaceae
Description: putative ncRNA
Source: RNAcentral
GUGCUGGCCGCAAUCAGUUUGCCGGAGCCGGCGCUGGAGCGCCGAUCUGACCUGCCGGAGCAGCCUCGCCUUCAGCCGGGGCGGGAGUUGCUCCGCCUUCAGCCGG